RNAcentral lists this ribosomal RNA (255 nucleotides) under uncultured bacterium. RNAcentral describes it as "partial small subunit ribosomal RNA". It matches the Rfam family "Bacterial small subunit ribosomal RNA", at positions 26 to 285 of the family's 1533-position model. The record is from RNAcentral.
AGGACGAACGCUGGCGGCGUGCUUAACACAUGCAAGUCGAGCGGAAAGGCCCUUCGGGGUACUCGAGCGGCGAACGGGUGAGUAACACGUGAGUAAUCUGCCCCUAGCUCUGGGAUAGCUCCGGGAAACCGGGAUUAAUACCAGAUACGACCACUUUUAGACAUCUGCUGUGGUGGAAAGAAUUUCGGCUAGGGAUGAGCUCGCGGCCUAUCGGCUUGUUGGUGAGGUAACGGCUCACCAAGGCGACGACGGGUA